This is a long non-coding RNA of Macaca mulatta (Rhesus monkey), 382 nucleotides long. RefSeq lists it as uncharacterized. NCBI's taxonomy places the organism in Eukaryota, Metazoa, Chordata, Mammalia, Primates, Cercopithecidae. The record is from RefSeq and is a predicted model, not a curated record.
CACCUACCUUGACCUCCCAAAGUGCUGGGAUUACAGAGCAGAGAAGAGGAUGUAGGCCUGUGUACACAAUGCGAUUGCAGCCAUUCGUUUUUGAACUGCAGACAUGGGACUGGAACCACACAACGACACUGUUCCUAUUAGUUCCCUUGAGUCAUCCAUAUCCUGCAAAGAGCCUCAAUCCCUUGCGUGAUGAUGAGAAAAGGUCGAAAGGUCUCCUUCUACAGAUCUGGGAGCCAGUUGCUUUCCUGAGGCACUUCAAGUACAGACCAAGAGAAAAGUCUACCAAGGAAAGGGAGACGAACAAGCUGAGGACACCGAAGAAUCUUGUUGGGAUCUGCAGAUAGCAAGAAGAAUCUUUAAUAAAUAAGACUCCCAUUAAAAA